RNAcentral lists this ribosomal RNA (290 nucleotides) under uncultured bacterium. Its description in RNAcentral is "partial 16S ribosomal RNA". It matches the Rfam family "Bacterial small subunit ribosomal RNA", at positions 773 to 1060 of the family's 1533-position model. The record is from RNAcentral.
GUGGAUUAGAUACCCUGGUAGUCCUAGCUGUAAACGAUGCAAACUUGGUGUUGGUGGGGUAAAAUCCGCCGGUGCCGAAGCUAACGCGAUAAGUUUGCCGCCUGGGGACUACGGCCGCAAGGUUAAAACUCAAAGGAAUUGACGGGGCCCCGCACAAGCAGCGGAGCGUGUGGUUUAAUUCGUUGCUACGCGAAAAACCUUACCCGGGUUUGACAUAUAGGUAGUAGGGAUCCGAGAGGUGACCGACCCUUCGGGGAGCCUAUACAGGUGCUGCACGGCCGUCGUCAGCU